GUGUUCACUUUGGCAGCACAUAUACUGAAAUUGGAAUGAUACAGAGAAGGAUAGUAUGGACCCUGUGCAAGAAUAACACUGAAUUACAAAUGGAGCAAUAAAUGAAG
Molecule: small nuclear RNA, 107 nt
Organism: Ochotona princeps (American pika)
Lineage: Eukaryota; Metazoa; Chordata; Mammalia; Lagomorpha; Ochotonidae
Source: Ensembl